Molecule: ribosomal RNA, 535 nt
Filed under: Staphylococcus sp. HB-56
Lineage: Bacteria; Bacillati; Bacillota; Bacilli; Caryophanales; Staphylococcaceae
Description: partial 16S ribosomal RNA
Rfam family: Bacterial small subunit ribosomal RNA
Source: RNAcentral
CANUUGGCAUCCUCUGACCCCUCNUAGAGNAUAGAANUNUUCCCCUUCGGGGGAACAGAGUGACAGGUNGUGCAUGGUUGUCGUCAGCUCGUGUCGUGAGAUGUUGGGUUAAGUCCCGCAACGAGCGCAACCCUUAAGCUUAGUUGCCAUCAUUAAGUUGGGCACUCUAAGUUGACUGCCGGUGACAAACCGGAGGAAGGUGGGGAUGACGUCAAAUCAUCAUGCCCCUUAUGAUUUGGGCUACACACGUGCUACAAUGGACAAUACAAAGGGNAGCGAAACCGCGAGGUCAAGCAAAUCCCAUAAAGUUGUUCUCAGUUCGGAUUGUAGUCUGCAACUCGACUAUAUGAAGCUGGAAUCGCUAGUAAUCGUAGAUCAGCAUGCUACGGUGAAUACGUUCCCGGGUCUUGUACACACCGCCCGUCACACCACGAGAGUUUGUAACACCCGAAGCCGGUGGAGUAACCAUUUGGAGCUAGCCGUCGAAGGUGGGACAAAUGAUUGGGGUGAAGUCGUACANGGGNNANCCCGUAAA